GUAGGUGGCAAGCGUUGUCCGGAAUUAUUGGGCGUAAAGCGCGCGCAGGCGGUUCUUUAAGUCUGAUGUGAAAGCCCACGGGCUCAACCGUGGAGGGUCAUUGGAAACUGGAGAACUUGAGUACAGAAGAGGGAAGCGGAAUUCCACGUGGAGCGGUGAAAUGCGUAGAGAUGUGGAGGAACACCAGUGGCGAAGGCGGCUUUCUGGUCUGUAACUGACGCUGAGGCGCGAAAGCGUGGGGAGCAAACAGGAUUAGAUACCCUGGUAGUCCACGCCGUAAACGAUGAGUGCUAAGUGUUAGGGGGUUUCCGCCCCUUAGUGCUGCAGCUAACGCAUUAAGCACUCCGCCUGGGGAGUACGGCCGCAAAGGCUG
Molecule: ribosomal RNA, 373 nt
Filed under: uncultured organism
Description: partial 16S ribosomal RNA
Rfam family: Bacterial small subunit ribosomal RNA
Source: RNAcentral